AUUGAACGCUGGCGGCAUGCUUUACACAUGCAAGUCGAACGGCAGCGCGGGCUUCGGCCUGGCGGCGAGUGGCGAACGGGUGAGUAAUGCAUCGGAACGUGCCCAGCAGUGGGGGAUAGCCCGGCGGAAGCCGGAUUAAUACCGCAUACGACCUGAUGGUGAAAGCGGGGGACCGAAAGGCCUCGCGCUAUUGGAUCGGCCGAUGUCGGAUUAGCUAGUUGGUGGGGUAAAGGCUUACCAAGGCGACGAUCCGUAGCUGGUCUGAGAGGACGACCAGCCACACUGGAACUGAGACACGGCCCAGACUCCUACGGGAGGCAGCAGUGGGGAAUUUUGGACAAUGGGGGCAACCCUGAUCCAGCCAUGCCGCGUGCGGGAAGAAGGCCUUCGGGUUGUAAAACGCUUUUGUUCGGGAAGAAAUCCUCUGGGCUAAUACCCCGGGGGGAUGACGGUACCGGAAGAAUAAGCACCGGCUAACUACGUG
Molecule: ribosomal RNA, 484 nt
Filed under: uncultured bacterium
Lineage: Bacteria
Description: partial 16S ribosomal RNA
Rfam family: Bacterial small subunit ribosomal RNA
Source: RNAcentral